UACGGAGGGGGUUAGCGUUGUUCGGAAUUACUGGGCGUAAAGCGCGCGUAGGCGGACCAGAAAGUUGGGGGUGAAAUCCCGGGGCUCAACCCCGGAACGGCCUCCAAAACUCCUGGUCUUGAGUUCGAGAGAGGUGAGUGGAAUUCCGAGUGUAGAGGUGAAAUACGUAGAUAUUCGGAGGAACACCAGUGGCGAAGGCGGCUCACUGGCUCGAUACUGACGCUGAGGUGCGAAAGUGUGGGGAGCAAACAGG
This 253-nucleotide ribosomal RNA is filed under the name uncultured bacterium. RNAcentral's name for it is "partial 16S ribosomal RNA". It matches the Rfam family "Bacterial small subunit ribosomal RNA", at positions 524 to 776 of the family's 1533-position model. The record is from RNAcentral.